AGUGAACGCUGGCAGUAGGCCUAACACAUGCAAGUCGAACGGCAGCACAGAGGAGCUUGCUCCUUGGGUGGCGAGUGGCGGACGGGUGAGGAAUACAUCGGAAUCUACUCUGUCGUGGGGGAUAACGUAGGGAAACUUACGCUAAUACCGCAUACGACCUACGGGUGAAAGCAGGGGAUCUUCGGACCUUGCGCGAUUGAAUGAGCCGAUGUCGGAUUAGCUAGUUGGCGGGGUAAAGGCCCACCAAGGCGACGAUCCGUAGCUGGUCUGAGAGGAUGAUCAGCCACACUGGAACUGAGACACGGUCCAGACUCCUACGGGAGGCAGCAGUGGGGAAUAUUGGACAAUGGGCGCAAGCCUGAUCCAGCCAUACCGCGUGGGUGAAGAAGGCCUUCGGGUUGUAAAGCCCUUUUGUUGGGAAAGAAAUCCAGCUGGCUAAUACCCGGUUGGGAUGACGGUACCCAAAGAAUAAGCACCGGCUAACUUCGUGCCAGCAGCCGCGGUAAUACGAAGGGUGCAAGCGUUACUCGGAAUUACUGGGCGUAAAGCGUGCGUAGGUGGUCGUUUAAGUCCGUUGUGAAAGCCCUGGGCUCAACCUGGGAACUGCAGUGGAUACUGG
RNAcentral lists this ribosomal RNA (619 nucleotides) under uncultured bacterium. Its description in RNAcentral is "bacterial SSU rRNA". It matches the Rfam family "Bacterial small subunit ribosomal RNA", at positions 28 to 636 of the family's 1533-position model. The record is from RNAcentral.